RNAcentral lists this ribosomal RNA (253 nucleotides) under uncultured Oscillospira sp. Its description in RNAcentral is "partial 16S ribosomal RNA". It matches the Rfam family "Bacterial small subunit ribosomal RNA", at positions 524 to 776 of the family's 1533-position model. Lineage: Bacteria; Bacillati; Bacillota; Clostridia; Eubacteriales; Oscillospiraceae. The record is from RNAcentral.
UACGUAGGGGGCAAGCGUUAUCCGGAUUUACUGGGUGUAAAGGGAGCGUAGACGGCGAUGCAAGCCAGAUGUGAAAGCCCGCGGCUCAACCGCGGAACUGCAUUUGAAACUGUUUUUCUUGAGUAUCGGAGAGGUAACCGGAAUUCCUAGUGUAGCGGUGAAAUGCGUAGAUAUUAGGAAGAACACCAGUGGCGAAGGCGGGUUACUGGACGACAACUGACGGUGAGGCGCGAAAGCGUGGGGAGCAAACAGG